RNAcentral lists this ribosomal RNA (498 nucleotides) under uncultured bacterium. Its description in RNAcentral is "partial 16S ribosomal RNA". It matches the Rfam family "Bacterial small subunit ribosomal RNA", at positions 30 to 523 of the family's 1533-position model. The record is from RNAcentral.
AUCGAACGCUGGCGGCAUGCCUUACACAUGCAAGUCGAACGGUAACAGGUCUUCGGAUGCUGACGAGUGGCGAACGGGUGAGUAAUACAUCGGAACGUGCCUAGUAGUGGGGGAUAACUACUCGAGAGAGUGGCUAAUACCGCAUGAGAUCUACGGAUGAAAGCAGGGGAUCGCAAGACCUUGUGCUACUAGAGCGGCCGAUGGCAGAUUAGGUAGUUGGUGGGAUAAAAGCUUACCAAGCCGACGAUCUGUAGCUGGUCUGAGAGGACGAUCAGCCACACUGGGACUGAGACACGGCCCAGACUCCUACGGGAGGCAGCAGUGGGAAAUUUUGGACAAUGGGCGAAAGCCUGAUCCAGCAAUGCCGCGUGCAGGAUGAAGGCCUUCGGGUUGUAAACUGCUUUUGUACGGAACGAAAAGCCCCGGGUUAAUACCCUGGGGUCAUGACGGUACCGUAAGAAUAAGCACCGGCUAACUACGUGCCAGCAGCCGCAGUAA